This 746-nucleotide ribosomal RNA is filed under the name uncultured bacterium. RNAcentral's name for it is "bacterial SSU rRNA". It matches the Rfam family "Bacterial small subunit ribosomal RNA", at positions 8 to 796 of the family's 1533-position model. The record is from RNAcentral.
AGAGUUUGAUCAUGGCUCAGGAUGAACGCUGGCGGCGUGCCUAAGACAUGCAAGUCGAGUGGGUUUAGGCCCACGGCAAACGGGUGAGUAAUACCUAGGAACUUUCUUUAAGUGGAGCAUAACUCGCCGAAAGGCGAGAUAAUUCUCCAUGUGACCGCAAGGUUAAAGUCGCAAGACGCUUAAAGUGAGGCCUGGGCACCAUCAGCUAGUUGGUAAGGUAAUGGCUUACCAAGGCUAUGACGGUUAGGGGCCCCGAGAGGGGAGACCCCCACACUGGAACUGCGACACGGUCCAGACUCCUACGGGAGGCAGCAGUUUGGAAUUUUGGACAAUGGGCGAAAGCCUGAUCCAGCGACGCCGCGUGGACGAUGAAGGCCUUCGGGUUGUAAAGUCCUUUUGCUCGGGAACAAUAUUUUGAGCGUACCGAGAGAAUAAGAGGUUGCUAACUCUGUGCCAGCAGCAGCGGUAAUACAGAGACCUCAAGCGUUAUCCGGAAUCAUUGGGCGUAAAGCGUACCGAUAGGUGGUUUUACAAGUCAGAAGUGAAAUCUUAAAGCUUAACUUUGAGACUGUCUUUUGAAACUGUAAAACUCGAGGGGCAAAGAGGAAGCUGGAACGAACGGUGUAGUAGUGAAAUGCGUUGAUAUCGUUCGGAACACCGAUAGCGAAGGCAAGCUUCUGGGUGCCACCUGACACUGCUAGGACGAAAGCGUGGGGAGCGAAUGGGAUUAGAUACCCUAGUAGUCC